Molecule: long non-coding RNA, 451 nt
Filed under: Heterocephalus glaber (naked mole-rat)
Lineage: Eukaryota; Metazoa; Chordata; Mammalia; Rodentia; Bathyergidae
Description: lncRNA (ENSHGLG00100040693.1)
Source: RNAcentral
GUUGGGACAAGGACUAGGAGCAGUUGUAAGGACUGUGAUGAAAGAAGAGGCAACCUGUACCCAAGGACAGAGUCUUCAGGAUAGAUUCUAUGAUUAUGAAUUUUGUAAUUCAUGCAGAAACUGGUACCCAGGAGCCCUCUUUCUCUCCAGACUAAAGAAAGGACAUUGUUUUUCUGACAUAAACAAAUCUCCAGGGGAAGAGGAAAAUAUCCUUCUAUGUUUAUAAUGCUUUGGAUUGUAAAUAAAUAGCACCAAUGGAGAUAGGUUUGUAAGCCACUCUGGAGAUCUCCAACCUCCAAGGCAUGUUUACCAUUCAAACAUCCUUUAAACCUAAUUUCUGACAAGUUUGCUUAGAAAGCCCUUAGUGUGCAGAAAUAUGAAAAUAUUAAUUGUUUUUCUGUAACUGGUAAAUGAGUCAUAUUUUAUUUUCCCUUUUCGAAGUACUUGUGCC